UGAGUGCCUUCGGGAGCUCAGAGACAGGUGGUGCAUGGCUGUCGUCAGCUCGUGUCGUGAGAUGUUGGGUUAAGUCCCGCAACGAGCGCAACCCACGUCUUUAGUUGCCAGCAUUCAGUUGGGCACUCUAUAGAGACCGCCGGUGAUAAACCGGAGGAAGGUGUGGAUGACGUCAAGUCAUCAUGCCCCUUACAUCCUGGGCUACACACGUACUACAAUGCUACGGACAAAGGGCAGCAAACUCGCGAGAGCUAGCAAAUCCCAUAAACCGUGGCUCAGUUCAGAUCGUAGGCUGCAACUCGCCUACGUGAAGGAGGAAUCGCUAGUAAUCGCAGGUCAGCAUACUGCGGNGAAUACGUUCCCGGGUCUUGUAACAC
This 377-nucleotide ribosomal RNA is filed under the name uncultured bacterium. Its description in RNAcentral is "bacterial SSU rRNA". It matches the Rfam family "Bacterial small subunit ribosomal RNA", at positions 1011 to 1385 of the family's 1533-position model. The record is from RNAcentral.